CCUACGGGGGGCUGCAGUGAGGAAUAUUGGUCAAUGGACGGAAGUCUGAACCAGCCAUGCCGCGUGAAGGACGACGGCCCUAUGGGUUGUAAACUUCUUUUGCAGCAGAGCAAUAAGGCGUACGUGUACGUCGAUGAGAGUAUGUUGCGAAUAAGCAUCGGCUAACUCCGUGCCAGCAGCCGCGGUAAUACGGAGGAUGCGAGCGUUAUCCGGAUUUAUUGGGUUUAAAGGGUGCGUAGGCUGUGCUGCGAGUCAGCGGUGAAAGAGCGGAGCUCAACUCCGAAAGUGCCGUUGAUACUGCAGUGCUGGAGUACCCCUGCCGUGGGAGGAAUGAGUGGUGUAGCGGUGAAAUGCAUAGAUAUCACUCAGAACACCGAUUGCGAAGGCAUCUCACGAAAGGGCAACUGACGCUGAGGCACGAAAGCGUGGGGAUCAAACAGGAUUAGAUACCCCAGUAGUC
This 460-nucleotide ribosomal RNA is filed under the name uncultured Rikenellaceae bacterium. RNAcentral's name for it is "bacterial SSU rRNA". It matches the Rfam family "Bacterial small subunit ribosomal RNA", at positions 338 to 795 of the family's 1533-position model. The record is from RNAcentral. Lineage: Bacteria; Pseudomonadati; Bacteroidota; Bacteroidia; Bacteroidales; Rikenellaceae.